CGGGUUGCUGCACCAGUGAGGAAUAUUGCACAAUGGGGGGAACCCUGAUGCAGCAACGCCGCGUGGAGGAUGACGCAUUUCGGUGUGUAAACUCCUUUUAUAUGUCAAGAAGAUGACGGUAGCAUAUGAAUAAGCACCGGCUAACUCCGUGCCAGCAGCCGCGGUAAUACGGAGGGUGCAAGCGUUACUCGGAAUCACUGGGCGUAAAGGACGCGUAGGCGGGUUGGAAAGUCAGGUGUGAAAUCCUACAGCUUAGCUGUAGAACUGCACUUGAAACUUCUAAUCUAGAGUAUGGGAGGGGGAGAUGGAAUUAGUGGUGUAGGGGUAAAAUCCGUAGAUAUCACUAGGAAUACCUAAAGCGAAGGCGAUCUCCUGGAACAUUACUGACGCUAAGGCGUGAAAGCGUGGGGAGCAAACAGGAUUAGAUACCCCGGUAGUC
This 439-nucleotide ribosomal RNA is filed under the name uncultured bacterium. RNAcentral describes it as "partial 16S ribosomal RNA". It matches the Rfam family "Bacterial small subunit ribosomal RNA", at positions 342 to 795 of the family's 1533-position model. The record is from RNAcentral.